GUGAGUGAAGGGGCGGGGUGGGAGGAGAGACCCGAGGCGAGCGUACAGAGUAGGGCUCGGAGGCUUCGGGUGGAGUCUCUGGUGUAUACUGCGCAUGUGCCAAUUUAUUUUCCGAGCGGGGAACCCUUGUCCCAUUUCUCGAGGAUUACCUAUCCCAGUGGUUCUCAGCCCUGACUGUACAUUAAAGUCAUCUGGAGAAUUCAAAAUAUGUCUGUGCUCGGUCCCUAGCCCUACCCAGUAUUUUUGGGCGUGGAGUCCAGGUAUCAGUAUAAAAAUUCCCCAAGUGGUUUGAAUGUGGACUUAGGCUUGAGAACUAUGUCCUUGGACUUCUUUCCUUCCUCUAUCUUUGGUUUAGUGUACCAUCUUUGAACUUCCUUUAGCAAUGAGGAAGCUGGGGCACAGAAAGCUAAGUAAACUUCCCAAAUCACACAGAGAAAUGCAAAGUGAAAUUUCAAACCCAGGCAUCUGGCCUCAGAGUGUUCAGUCUCAAUCCCUACCCUAGACUGGUAAGUGUGAAAGGAGAGGAAGACUGGAAGUCAAGGGGUUUCAGCAAUGAUUUGAACUUUUAUAGAGAUAGAGGUGUCUAAGGGUGGGCAAAGCGUUAUGAGUUUUCAGAGCGUCAGACCGGAUCUGAAGCCAGAAUUUUGAAGCAAAAAGGGACACGGGGAGUUCCCAUCGUGGCGCAGUGGUUAACGAAUCCGACUAGGAACCAUGAGGUUGCGGGUUCGGUCCCUGCCCUUGCUCAGUGGGUUAACGAUCCGGCAUUGCCGCGAGCUGUGGUGUAGGUUGCAGACGCGGCUCGGAUCCCACGUUGCUGCGGCUCUGGUGUAGGCCGGCAGCUACAGCUCCGAUUCGACCCCUAGCCUGGGAACCUCCAUAUGCCGCGGGAGCAGCCCAAGAAAUAGCAAAAAGACAAAAAAAAAAAAAAAAAAAAAAAAAAGGGACGCGGAAGCUGCUCAUUUUGUUGAAGCCCAGAGGUGCCCACUAGACUAAAAGCUCUAUCAACACAGUAAUCAUGUCCAUUUGGUUCACUGCUGGGUACACCUGCAACACAUAGCACUGGAUCUGGUGCAGAGUAGUCACUCACUAAAAAUAUCUGUCAGCUGAGUGUGAUAACUGAACAUAAAUAUGUGUCUUGGAAUGGAUGGGUAUUUGGUUGAACCAUAUGAAACUGCAUUUGUUAGUUUUAAUUCUUCAGCAAAGCCCUCCCUCGUCUUACUUUUCCUUAUUUCCCUUUCUUGCUAAAGCUUGCCAUUUACCAUUUUCAUGUCUUUCUAUACACCUUCUUAAAA
RNAcentral lists this long non-coding RNA (1292 nucleotides) under Sus scrofa (pig). RNAcentral describes it as "lncRNA (ENSSSCG00070027893.1)". Lineage: Eukaryota; Metazoa; Chordata; Mammalia; Artiodactyla; Suidae. The record is from RNAcentral.